CCUGAGUAGCUAGGAUGACAGGUGUGCAUCACUGACCUCCCUCCCCGGCUAUUUUUUUAAAUAAAAAUUUAAAGUUUUUUUUUUUUUGCCAUACUCUAAAAGAAUCACUACAAAGAUGAACUACAUGAUUAGGGCUUUAUCCACCUGCAAAGACCCCUCUGGGAGAUGCCCGCAGCUCGGGGCUGGGCGCUUCCAGACUCCCGUUCCUGACAGGGGCCUGGCCCAGGCCGUAUUUACCAGC
This is a long non-coding RNA of Perognathus longimembris pacificus (Pacific pocket mouse), 241 nucleotides long. RefSeq lists it as uncharacterized. The record is from RefSeq and is a predicted model, not a curated record. The transcript is spliced from 3 exons. NCBI's taxonomy places the organism in Eukaryota, Metazoa, Chordata, Mammalia, Rodentia, Heteromyidae.